CGGACGGGUGAGUAACGCGUGAGAAUCUGCCUCUUGGUCGGGGAUAACAGUUGGAAACGACUGCUAAUACCGGAUGAGCCGUAAGGUAAAAGAUUUAUUGCCAAGAGAAGAGCUCGCGCCUGAUUAGCUAGAUGGUGGGGUAAAAGCCUACCAUGGCGACGAUCAGUAGCUGGUCUGAGAGGAUGAGCAGCCACACUGGGACUGAGACACGGCCCAGACUCCUACGGGAGGCAGCAGUGGGGAAUUUUCCGCAAUGGGCGCAAGCCUGACGGAGCAAUACCGCGUGAGGGAGGAAGGUUCUUGGAUCGUAAACCUCAAAACUUAGGGAAGAAACAAAUGACGGUACCUAACAUAAGCAUCGGCUAACUCCGUGCCAGCAGCCGCGGUAAUACGGAGGAUGCAAGCGUUAUCCGGAAUUAUUGGGCGUAAAGAGUCUGUAGGUGGCACUUCAAGUCUGCUGUCAAAGACCGAAGCUUAACUUCGGAAAGGCGGUGGAAACUGAAGAGCUAGAGUAAAGCAGGGGUAGAGGGAAUUCCCAGUGUAGCGGUGAAAUGCGUAGAGAUUGGGAAGAACACCAGUGGCGAAGGCGCUCUACUGGGCUUUAACUGACACUGAGAGACGAAAGCUAGGGUAGCGAAAGGGAUUAGAUACCCCUGUAGUC
This 661-nucleotide ribosomal RNA is filed under the name Synechocystis nigrescens str. Caroloina Biological Supply #151910. Its description in RNAcentral is "bacterial SSU rRNA". It matches the Rfam family "Bacterial small subunit ribosomal RNA", at positions 99 to 795 of the family's 1533-position model. The record is from RNAcentral. Lineage: Bacteria; Bacillati; Cyanobacteriota; Cyanophyceae; Synechococcales; Merismopediaceae.